UGGGGAAUUUUGGACAAUGGGCGAAAGCCUGAUCCAGCAAUGCCGCGUGUGUGAAGAAGGCCUUCGGGUUGUAAAGCACUUUUGUCCGGAAAGAAAUGGCUCUGGUUAAUACCUGGGGUCGAUGACGGUACCGGAAGAAUAAGGACGGGCUAACUACGUGCCAGCAGCCGCGGUAAUACGUAGGGUCCAAGCGUUAAUCGGAAUUACUGGGCGUAAAGCGUGCGCAGGCGGUUGUGCAAGACCGAUGUGAAAUCCCCGAGCUUAACUUGGGAAUUGCAUUGGUGACUGCACGGCUAGAGUGUGUCAGAGGGGGGUAGAAUUCCACGUGUAGCAGUGAAAUGCGUAGAGAUGUGGAGGAAUACCGAUGGCGAAGGCAGCCCCCUGGGAUAACACUGACGCUCAUGCACGAAAGCGUGGGGAGCAAACAGG
RNAcentral lists this ribosomal RNA (429 nucleotides) under Acidobacteriota bacterium. RNAcentral describes it as "Acidobacteria bacterium partial 16S ribosomal RNA". It matches the Rfam family "Bacterial small subunit ribosomal RNA", at positions 355 to 776 of the family's 1533-position model. Lineage: Bacteria; Pseudomonadati; Acidobacteriota. The record is from RNAcentral.